Long non-coding RNA from Conger conger (European conger), 513 nucleotides. RefSeq lists it as uncharacterized. Lineage: Eukaryota; Metazoa; Chordata; Actinopteri; Anguilliformes; Congridae. The transcript is spliced from 3 exons. The record is from RefSeq and is a predicted model, not a curated record.
CCCGAGUACCCAGCAUGCACUGGGGCUCGUUGCUGCCAGGGCUUCUGUGUGUGGUCUCCACGUUGCCUUCUUUAUUAUCCUGGGGAGUCUGAGACGCGCACCUGCUCAAGCUCUCGCCUGUUUAGCUAGUCUGUCCUGCGAUAUCUCUCCUCAGAGUAUCGCCACUCGUCCCCUCCCCUCCUCUCCACGUCUCCGGGGCCCACACUGGACCAUCUGCCAAGCGCAAGGAGCUUUGAAGAUAGCGGGCUCGGCUGCGAGAGGUCCUGUUCCCCUCUGGGCAAAGGGAGGUCUGGGAGAAUCACUGCACCUGAAAGUCAUCCGUAUGCACGUACACUCUCAGAGGUACUGUGAUAGUGGAGAAGCCCAGAGAGGAAGUGAUGUAAAUGGAUUGCUUCUGUUUGCUCAUUUGCUGUGUUUGGAUAUUUCCUUUUUAAACAACAAAAUCCAUGCUGACCACCCCUCCCCCCUCCCUUCCCAGCGAUUUCCCAUAACCUGCAAAAACUGUUAACAAGA